RNAcentral lists this small RNA (1547 nucleotides) under Rattus norvegicus (Norway rat). RNAcentral describes it as "uncharacterized LOC103692893". Lineage: Eukaryota; Metazoa; Chordata; Mammalia; Rodentia; Muridae. The record is from RNAcentral.
UUUCAUAGUAAUUUUAUUCAUGAAUAUGGUCACUUAAACUUCAUUUCACCUUUGCCCAAGAAGAAUUUUGCUUCAGUUUAUUUAUUUAACACAAAAGAGAAUGUCUGGCUUAUUAUGCUUCAGAUGAUUGACACAUCUCUUGUUUGGAUCCAGAAAAUGUUAUUUAAAAUUGCAGAAGGGUACUAGGAGCUUGUGAAACUUCAUUCUUAUAACAGUAAAGAAGCUUGUGUUUAACUAUUCAUUUUAAUUGUAAUCUUUAAGACUUCAUAGCUUUUUUUCUUUCUUGAAAAGCAUUGCUGUUAAUAUAGGCAUUUUAAACUGUUUUAUUUAGACAAAUUGUUGUCUUAAAAUUGUAUGUACACAGUUGCUCCUAUUGCGUUUCAAAGAUUAAAGUCAAAAUAUGGCUUUACAUGUUUACAUCUUGCAAAAUUACUCCUUCAAGAGGCUUUAAAAUACCAAAUAUGAAAUACAAAUUUGUGCACGAUAGUGUGGUUAGAAUUUUAACAUACAUCAAAAGAAAUCCUUCCAGAGAGGUCAUGAGUUCAACUUUUAUAUGUUCCUGUUUAAGUUAUAGGUGCACUAUGUAAAAUGUCCCCCUUUUUGAAAAAAGUUAAGAACCUAGAAACUGAAUAGCACGAAAAACUCUUUGUGGGACUCAAUAAUUCAUCUGGAAAGGGCUUUGUGUCUGUCUUUCAUGUUUAUCACUGUUUUUAGCUUUCUUGGAGGUGGGAAGAGCUUAUAGUUAAGGGCCCAUUAUCAGGGAAAAGGAUGCAGGAAGUCCAAAAUAUUUAUAUUUGUUCGUGGCACAUGGACAGAAGAUGGUUCUCAGGAAAAGGGCUUUCUGAUUGAUUGAAGACAUGCUGGCGUAUUUUAAUAGCUUCUUCUGUCCAAGAGAUAGCAUCAUCUUUGUCCUUAUCGCUGCUCUGAAACUUACUUUAAACAUUCUCCCAUGCUCCUCCAAUUAGAUGCUUCACUCUCUUGGCUUCCUGUGUCCUCGCUGCAACUCAUCUCAUUUGUUUGCAUUCUCAUCUUUGUCAGCAGGUUGGGUGAAGAAGAGGCAUAUAACAGAUAAUUGAAGGGACAUGCUUUGCAGCUUCAAAUUCAUCUGCAUGGCAUCCAGCCACAGCCACACGGUGAUGGCGAUAAAAUGUGGAUGUGGGAAACAUCAGCUUCCACUUUGCAAAAGCUUAAGAGCCGGCAAUUGAUUGAAUGGAAUGAGAAGAUGAAGAGAAUUAGAAGUGAUAUUCCUAAGGUGUUCUGCAGACCAACACACCAGACAGAAGACAUGGAUUAAGGUUCAAGGUCAACUCAAUUUCGAGAAGGAAUGUGCAUCUCAGGGCUACUGAGCAGAGCCUUCAAUGCCAAUUUAAUGCAAGUACUCUUCAUCCCGGAACACUAGAAGGCCAGACAUAAAGCUUUGACUUCAAGCCACACACAAAACAUGUGAUUCCAUAUGGGCUUUUGCUGCAUGGUAGCUGUUGAAGGCUUACGUGUGCCAGUUAAAGACAGCUUGAAGGUAACCACUUGAAAGUCAGCAUCAAACAAAG